This 443-nucleotide ribosomal RNA is filed under the name uncultured bacterium. RNAcentral's name for it is "partial 16S ribosomal RNA". It matches the Rfam family "Bacterial small subunit ribosomal RNA", at positions 338 to 795 of the family's 1533-position model. The record is from RNAcentral.
CCUACGGGAGGCUGCAGUGGGGAAUAUUGGGCAAUGGGGGAGACUCUGACCCAGCAACGCCGCGUGAGUGAUGAAGGUCUUCGGGGUGGAAAGUUCUUUUCUCAGGGAAGAAAAACGUGACGGUACCUUAGGAAUAAGCCUCGGCUAACGACGGACCAGCAGCCACGGUAAUACGUAGGAGGCGGGCGUUAUACGGAAUGACUGGGCGUAAAGGGUGCGUAGGUGGUUUGGCAAGUUAGUAGCGUAACUCCAAGGCUCAACCUUGGAACGACUACUAAAACUGUUGGACUUGAGUGCAGGAGGGGCAACCGGAAUUCGUAGUGUAGCGGUGGAAUGCGUAGAUAUUAGGAGGAACACCAGUGGCGAAGGCGGGUUGCCAGACUGUAACUGACACUGAGGCACGAAAGCGUGGGGAGCAAACAGGAUUAGAUACCCCAGUAGUC